Long non-coding RNA from Anthonomus grandis grandis, 531 nucleotides. RefSeq lists it as uncharacterized. NCBI's taxonomy places the organism in Eukaryota, Metazoa, Arthropoda, Insecta, Coleoptera, Curculionidae. The record is from RefSeq and is a predicted model, not a curated record. The transcript is spliced from 2 exons.
CGGACGCUAGCUUCACACACAUAGGAAAUAUUCUGUAUAACAGGCUUUAAAAAACUCUUAAGAGUAAGGCACACAUCCGCUUUUCUUUUAGGCAUUUUAGCUAUACCAGCAAUGAUAAAUAACAUUGUUAAGAAAGAACGCGUCAAAAAAAUAAGAAAAUAUAGUAAACUCAAUAAAACGCAUUCAAAAAGUUUGGUUAUGUUUAUUAUUUACUUUUUUAUCUUCUAUCAGCAUUCGGCUUGCGAUCGCGAGACAGGCUACAUUAUAUUUUUGGAGGCUGUGUUUCGAUCUUGUCCUACUAAUUUAUUUUCUGUUUCUGCGCGUGUAAAAGCCACAAACCAUAAAGCCGACACAAGACAAAGCUAUAGUCACAAGCUAAACAGAACGAGCAAAGUUGUAAUAUAAGAAGAUAUUUCGGAGAUUCCUGCAUGGUCCAGAGCCAGACAAAGAAGGAGUCUCCCCCAAAUCGGGCUGGCCAUUGCCUUGCAGCAAAGCCAUCAACAAAACAAGACAAGACAAGACAAUCUUCUA